UUUGGUUCUAUAAAUCAUGUAAAAAAAUAAAUAAAAAAAAUACAACUAUUACAUAUAUCGUCAAAUGGUUCGUUUUUCGUUAUAUGACGUAAAUAGUGGAGGCGUUUACAUCCGGUUAGAGUACGCAUGCUAAGAUUUUUCUUCCGGUACGUACUCGGUGUACAUGCUGCUGUAGUUCAUGUUUGAGGUGGAAGAAUCUGUUUCAGCGUGGUGGAGUCUUACACCAUAUGUUUUUCAUAAAGUAUUAGCAGUGUGUUCCUCCUGAUUCAAAUGGAUGCGUGAUUACAUUUGCUGAAUGAAUCGGGAAAGCCUCCGCAAUGGGAUAAUAACGUUUUUCCCUAGCCCAUGGUAUUUCAAAAUGUACAAACGCCAUAUAUUUGGCUUUUGCAUACCAGAUCUGUUGUUCAAUAAAAUUUACAAUUAAAACUGUA
This is a long non-coding RNA of Myxocyprinus asiaticus (Chinese sucker), 431 nucleotides long. RefSeq lists it as uncharacterized. The transcript has 2 exons. NCBI's taxonomy places the organism in Eukaryota, Metazoa, Chordata, Actinopteri, Cypriniformes, Catostomidae. The record is from RefSeq and is a predicted model, not a curated record.